RNAcentral lists this long non-coding RNA (453 nucleotides) under Chlamydomonas reinhardtii. RNAcentral's name for it is "long non-coding RNA (CREI_LNC000250)". The record is from RNAcentral. Lineage: Eukaryota; Viridiplantae; Chlorophyta; Chlorophyceae; Chlamydomonadales; Chlamydomonadaceae.
UGGCAUUGACGUUUUUUUACCGUGACCUUGACCGAAGAGCACGUCGUUCCUGACACCCAGCUGCAUCGUUUGAACACAGGCUCCCAGGUUCUGGCGCUGCAGAACCUGGCGCUCCUGCAGGCCAGAGUUGAAGUUUCGCCCGAUAAGUUUCUUGCGCUUCCAGCGAUAAAUGCCGCUCAGGUCAUCCUGGAAAGCAUUACAGUGAAUACAGACUGCUUGACGGUGCAGCUGCUCUUGGAGAGCAGCAUUGCGGCGACAUGGCCGCGAGGGACUGGGUACUUGUACGUGCCCGGGCCCUACACCCGCUCAGGCUGGAGCUACAACAGGGUUAACUUCACCUGUGACGUUCCGGGCGUACAGCUCGAUGGGUCUGGUGUGCCCACGACCACAGUGCUGACAUCGGGGCUUGGCCUAUUUAACGCCCUCGUCUUAAGGUGCGCGUGUUGAACGGAC